UGAAGUCAUGAGUACACACACCUCAGUUCCCUAGACACAUUCCCAUUUUAAAAGUAAGGCCCCAGACACCCUUAAUACACACAGAUAUACUGUAUACACUGUUCUAGAGCACACUGUGAUGAACACUUAGCAUACACGGUCACAAAUGAUUCCAGGCUGUUCUGUAGCACAUGCUAGGGUUGGGCGAUAGGAUGAUGUAAUCGGAUAUCGACGAUGUCUUACAAAGAUCCCGAUUGCGAACAGACAAUAUUGGGAAAUGGCAAAACCAUGGAUCUUGGAAGUUGCCAAAUAUAUUAAACAGUGGCCAUGAUGUGAAACUAGCACCCGCCACCCUCAAAAUGCGACGAGGCUGAAUCGAGUUCGCAAGCUCCUCGUCCAAAUGUAUUUCAUGCAUGGGUAAUUUUGCUCAUCUACCCGCAAUAUGCAGGCGACCUGUAAGAUGUCUCAGAGUGACACAUGACAAGAAAUGCUGUUAGUCACAAAGACACGUGCUUGAAGAAACACACUUUAUUAUAUUUUUAAGAACGGACAAAAGAAAAGCCUUCAAUGCUUGUGUCUGAUUCGCUGUUCGUACAGAGGCGUGCAGCACAAGCCUGUCUCGUGGAACAAGCCCAUGUAAAGUGUUUUCACUCUUUUUUUUUCUCAGUUUCAUUCAUCUGAAAACUGUUUGCAAAAAUAAUGUCGUCUGUGAGAAUGCUGCAAAUUAUCUCCAAUCAUCUCGGGUGGUGCUGUGAGUUUAGUUCGCUUUAUUUCCACGCGGUUAGCAUGCAUUGUGAACUCUGCAGGUUCAGUAAUAUAUAUCUUUGUAUUAAAGACACAAAGACGAAAGUGAUUAAAUCAUAAAAUAAUACAAGACAUGUUCACCUUGAACCUAAAAUUUAGUUCUAUUUUCUUUUCUUUAGGCAGUAUUAACUGUAUUACCAAAACGCAAUACAAACAAUAUUUGAUAAGAACACACAUUAGGCAGCAUCACUAUAUUGGGAACACGAGAAUUUAUUAGGCUUUAUUAUUAUGAUUAUUAUUGUCUUUACAUUUAUGAUUGUCUUAAUCUGUAGGCAAUUAGUAAUUUUCCACCUGGUGUCGUUGACGGAUGCUGCCGUUGGAGACAGUCAAUGUUUGGAUUUGGGGAGGUGGUUAAAUACGAUUUUUUUGAUCGCUUUAUUUUAUUGCUUUUUCGUUUAGUUUAAAGUGCAAUUUGAAUUUAGAAAUGUAUUUUCUUCAUGUUUUACGUGUUUCAAUAAAUUAAUACAUUUUUUAAAGUAAAAUCUAUAAAGCAAAAAAAUUCACCGACCCUCAGCAAGGGGGGUUGAUGAUGUAAUCGGAUAUUGUGAUGUUUUUUUAAAGGGAUUAUUGAUAAAAUAAUUUUUACAUAUCACCCAGCCCUAGCACACGCUGCUGAACACAAAUUCGUUCUAAAAUGUUUUAUGAAGAAUGAGUACUGGGUGGAUGCUGGGAGGAUGCUGAACUGGUCAACGCAGUGACAUGAUCUUUAUUGAAUCAAAGCUGCUUUUCCACCAUCGGGCUGAACAGUUCUCAUCGAAAACCAUACCGUUACGUGAUGAUCCUGGACAGUUGGCAUGGUUACAGUUUCUUUUUCCUCUGUGGUGUGGUGAAAUCGGGAGAAUGCAUGUAACAGAUCCGUCUGUUGGCGAUGGCAUAAGUAAGAGGUAAGCACUGGAGUGAGUGCUGCGCGCUAUGGAGGAGGAUCGCAAAUUCCAGUUUUUAGGACUGCCUUUUCCCUGGUUUUACUUACUCUCCUAUCAAACAGCAAAGACUGUGCCACAAGAAGGAAAGUAAAGAAAAAAAGGCAAGAGGUUUACCAUCAUUUACUGAGUGCCACCGGACACAAACAUGCAGAAAGGUAGAAGAUUACAGACUAGCUAAAAAUGAUAUUUAUUGACAAAUUAUUAUACAAGUAUUAUAUAAAAAUAGUAUAUGAAAAUAUUUUGAUGUAUUUUGAGUUAAAUGAGCUAGUAAUCUACUUCCCUGAUGAAAAAGGCAUGUAGAAACUAAACGAGUUGCCAUGUACUAAAGCCAUUCAACCAGCAUGCUUGAGAACAGUUGAGUACGGUUAGCUAACCGUGCCGAGAAUUCCGGGCAGAGAAUGGUUUAUAAUUGCGCCGUGCCGAACCGUGCUCAAGUGGAAAUGCUACUGUAACCGUUCCAUACUGUGCUCAGCCGUUCGGCCCAAUGGUGGAAAGCGGCUAUUGAUUACAUUCUGAUGCUAUUUUUACAGUUAUGCCCUUGUUGGGCAUGUAGGUUGAUGAAUUAAAUGUUUGGUAUGUGAAGGACUGUACACUGUUUUCUUUUAUAUAGUGGAGUUUAAAAAAAAAUUAUUUUCUUUUUAUAAUGCUAUAUCUGUUGAACAGGCCUUUGUUUUGUUUAUAAUUGAUGCUGAAACACACUGUUACAGUUGUAGGGUCAUAGCACACACUAACAGAGCAAUCUCACUGGUUAUGAUUAAAGGUGCACUGAAAUUAUUUUCCUUAUUUAAAAAGUUUUACUUCUAAAGAAAGGAAUUGUUAUUUUGAAACAUUUAAAUAAAGUCAUAGCCACUCUAAUGAGAUAAAGACUCCAGUCAUAUCAGUAACCUUAUUAAAUCUGUUUUAUUCUACAUAGACAGGGUCCCCUCAUGGGGGCUGCCAUGUUAGGAUCACAUUACCGGCCAAAUACUACUUGCUUAGUUAAUCUUAGUAACCACCCUGUUAUUAGAUAUUUUCACUCAUGGAUUAAUCAUGGCAGACUGUGAGUAGAUAAAUUCUACAACAGCAUCAGUAACUAAAAGCUAUUGCAUUUGAAUGAUGUUGCAACCACGCCCCUAGGUGUCAGUGUAAGUCCAAGACAAAAUAUUUUUAAAAAUGACUGAGAGUGCACACUGAUUCGCUUCCCGUCUUUUUCUCUACCUUUGUCUCUCCACCUCACCCACCUCUACAUUACGAGUGAUUGAUGGAGAAUUAAAUCUCAAAAAUCUCAAAAUGAAUAAUCUUCAAUUCUGUGGCCUUCCAUUGCCCCCUUGUUAUUUUGUGUACAGGAUUUCCCUUUUGUGGUUUACUGCACAUUUACCCCUGAAUGUUGUUAUAGAGCAUUGCUCCCAUACUCCUUUUACAUCACAAGAUGAUGUUAUUUAAUUUGUCAAUCACAUUAUCAUAAUGUUCAAUCAUUAUUGUGCUCUCAUUGGAGCAAGCCAGGUACUAUGCAUGCGUAAGCCAUUAUCUCAAUCACUCUCUGGCAUGCUGACAUAUAGGGGCCUUUAGAGACCAUUUUUAGAUGCAUUUUUUACAUAUAAAGGAUGUGUCUGUCUUUUAUUAACUAGCAAAGAUGUGUCUUGCUGCUCACUCAGAGCCAGAAUGAAUGUAUUCGACACAAUAUCAGCAGUGCUGUGUGUAUCCCUCAGUUAAGAGCCAUACAAUAUCCCAGUCUGUAAAUUAAAACUGCAACAUGCAUAUGGGAAGAAUGCUUUCAUGUGUUAAAUAGUAUAGAAGAUGCUAGAGCUACAUGCAAAGGAAGUGCCUUGGUAAUGUGUGUUAUGACCAACAAAGAGAGACCUAGAAUUUCAAGUCUAGGAGGCACAUCAUUUAGAGACAUUAUAAGAGGAGACUGGGCGUAUGUUUGAAUUAGAGAAAUCAUAACACUAAACUGUAGUCCUGCCUUUUAUUUAAAAGAGCCAUGCGCCUUUUUGAAAGAGGCAUUGCAGCACUCUAUAUGGUCUCUGUAAGAAUGCAUUUCCCACCUUAAGGUUUUGGCACUUUUAACCCUGCAUGGUGAAAUUCUGUAGGUGGAUGUUAAUCGAUUGUGAAACAUGCAAAAACUACUUGUCAAGCAGUCUCAUUUUUUACAUUUUUAUGCUAUACUUUAUACUCUGGGAAAGUGUUCCAAAGAAACUCGCUGCUAAAAUUAUUUCCUCAUCUAUUGUUAAUAUUCAGUGUAGCUAUGUAUGAAGCACUGGCCACCAAGAGGUCACCGCCAAACCUAGUAAAUCCCUAUUGGUCAACACUGAAUAUUCACGUGUCCAGUUCAUCAAACUUGAAACCCACCCAAAAUUUGCUUUGUAAAAUUUUGUUUCCAUUGAAUGUACAUCAGACAAAAUUCCUCAUCGUGCUGAUUCCCAUUGAGUAAUGGGACUGUAUUUCGCCCCAUGUAAUUUCUCAAAGGUAAUGUAAAUGUGACUGAACCUUUAGAGUAGGGGGAAAAAUCAAUUCUUUUACAAAUCACGAUUUUUGAGCCAAAUGGUUUUAAAAUCGACUCCCUGAUGAAAAUCUUUUUGUUAUUUAAGAAUAAAAAACAUGUUCAUCUUAAUGCUACAGUGAUUAAUAGAUAAAUAUAGUAAGCUAUAUUUGUGCAGAGUUCCACAUAGCAGGUUUUCUCUCUGAGAAGUUUUGUCUCUAAUUCUUUAUGUUUAGUCCUUUAAUGCACCACUGCUACAGCCAUCAAAUGCCAUUUGUUCACUGUCGGGCCUCAAAAUCCUCUGCUCUGAUCAGUGUUCCUGUUAUUAUGCAUAAUCCACAAGUUUAUUUAAGAGGUGUUGUGGAGAGUGUUUGUCAGAAUUCAUUCUGCAGAUUCUUUCUGUCACUGCUUUAAUAAAUAGUUUAGUUGUUAAAAAAGGCUUAUCAAACUUUUGGAUGCCGUAAACUACAUGUCGCACCCCCGCAAUAUUUAUAAUCUAACAGCCAGGGUAUUUAUGAGCAGUGGCGGGCAAUUUCAUACAUUUACUUGCCACUGUUGAUGAAUAAUGUGACGCGUGCUUGAGGAAAUACACCUGAUAAUGUUUUGAAGAACAGAUGAAAGAAAUGCCUGAGAUGCCCAUGUCUGAUUGGCUUUUUUUGUUCAUAACUUAAUUUGCGCUUUGGCUCCAAUGCCCACAGCACGAUUGUGUCUCGUGGAACAUACGCAAAUUGUGAGUUCUCACUUUUUUUCUCUGUCAGUCAUCUGGGAGAUCUCAGGAUGCAUAUGCAAAUAACAUGCAACGACACUGGGACUACAGGUGAAAUGUCAUGUGUGUCAUAAUUCAGUACAGCCCCAGAAAUGGUUCUUGAACAAGUUUACUCUUUAGCCUCCAUUUGUAUGUUGCAAAAUUAUCAUUAUGAUAAUAGUAAUGGUCUAUGGUAAUAUGUUAUAUUGUAUAUUCUAAAAUAAAAAAAAUAAUAGUUUGAUAAGUUAAAAUGAUAUAUUUUAUAUUUAUUUGUUGAAUACAAAUGGACAUAAUGCAGCCUUAUAGACUACAUGGGUUCCUUUGCACUAACUAGACGCCUAGCUCAGAAAUUGGUAGUUUUGCAUAUACUUACAGAAUUACAAUAUCGCAAUACAUAUAGAAUUGGCUUGGAAAUAUUGUAAUAUUGAAUCGGGAGGUCUGUGGCAAUUCCCGCCCCUACUUUAGAGUUAAAUAGUCCUGUUUGUUUGCACAAGAACAUGCAUGCACAUUAGUCAAAAAAAAAUUUUUUUUUAUGGAGGCAAAUAUACCUCAUUCACACUGGGCUCUGAUCCAGGAUAUUGCCGGGGUCAAUGCCAGGGAGCCCUCUUUGUGAAAGGAAGCCGGAGCCGGAAUGCCAGAAAAUUUGGUCCCAGGAUCAGACCCUAGUAACAUUGCCGGGAUCAAUCCCACAUGUUUGUGUGAACAAAAGGCAGAGCCGAUACCGGAAAUUAUGUGUGUUGUAGUGAUGAUGUAUUAAUCAUGAGAAAGAGAGAGUCUGUACACUGUAAAAAAUGUCUAUUUUGGAAAAUUUAGUAAGUUGAUAAUUAAAUGUUGGCUCAAUAAAAGACAUGCAAAUAAUUGCCCUAAAACAGAAAUAUGUAUUGUGGUGAUAGCAGCUCGAUGUUUUCCAUUAAAAUUUAAAAUAUACUAUAUUCACCGUAAACAUUUAAAUGUGUUCAGGUUAAUGUCAAGUGGAACUGAAAAAUUUGUUUUGGCUGAGCAAAUCAUAGAAUGCUUAAAACGGACUACGCAUGCGCCUGAGAAAACAACAGUAGUACUUUGGAAAAGGCACGUGCGGUUGUUGGAGACUGGUGCUGCUGGGUGGAGAGCGCAAGCGGUGCCAAAGUCCAAAGAUACGAAUGAACGUCGGUCCCAAGAGAAGAGAAAGACCGUCGUCCUGACUUUCAUAAAUUGAGCGGUUUUCCAUCUUCAGAACUCCUUGAAAUUACUCUGAAGAAAGGUGGCAGACUUGACAGCACAGAGAAGGUCCACUGCUCUUCGGGGUCUUAUCUUGAAUUUGAGAGAGCAGGGCUGUAUUUCAAAGACCAUUCAGAAUACUGAGGCAUGGGAGAACCACACAAGCAGCACAAAAAUGGCAAUAGUUGAAGUGGUGAACAACAAUAUUUCCAUCAACAUCAUGAUAAUUUUCCAAUGUGGUCAAUGUUGCAGUUGUCUUGGAAUAGUAGGUGGUUAUGGAUAACGUGGGAGACUUUACUAAUACGUUCAUUAACUAAGUUUCCAUCCAAGGAUUUUUUUUUGCUGAAAAAGUUUUAGCGCAUCAAAAUAAAGCUGAUGGAAGCACAAAUUAUCACUAAAAUUUCACAAGUGUCGACAUAAUAUUUUUCCGUUUAACUCUAGUGCAUAAACUCGUGUCGAUACUUCUGAUGUCGCGAAAAACUGGUUUGGAAACACUUUUUGUCAAGAAAAUUGGCAUUAACGCAAAAAUUUAGUGUCACAUGACCGAAUUUAACCCAAUCGUUAGCCUGUGUUAAUCAUGAUGACAAGGCAUCCAUCCUUGUAAGCCAAUUUAUUGUACGUGAUUAUGGAUUGAUCUGAACGGCAUAAAGAUCCGAUCACUGCAAACAUGACACUUCCAGGAGUGCCAACACAAAUAUCUCGUAUCAAGACAUGCACAUUGACAAGUGCACAGAGAACAAAUUAAUGGCCACUGUUUGUGAUUAAUUUAAUCGUGGUAACCAUCCAUUUAUUUAUUAAAGUUGCUUUUCCACACCAUUCAAAAUAAUAGACGGCAGUCAUUGAAUUAGCCCACAAUACAAAAAAAAAAACAUAUAAUUUCUGUGUACAAAGAUGUUUUAAAUUAAAAAUAAAUACACAAUACUAGGAGAAAAGCUUCAGUGUGCUUUAUUGGAACACUAACAUAUAGUCCAAUUAUAUUAAAUUAUUGUUUAGCUUUUGAAAAAAUGGCAGCAAAAUUCCCUGUAUUAAAUUAAAUAAAUUACAAGGUGAACAAAGCAUUAAAUAAAAUAAUUAAUUACCAAAUUAAAAAAUUUAUAUAUUUUUAGAUUCUAUGCCUUUUCUUUACACAAACUUAGUGUUUUUUUUAGGCAUGACAUCAUCAUGCACACCAUUUAAUCGAUAAAAGGCCAUUUGAAUGGAAACAGGCAGAAGACGGCAAAUUUCACUUUGUAAAAAAAUUUUUUUACGCAUUUUCACUUUUUCGAUAACAAAGUAGCGCAAAAAGUGGAUGGAAACUAGGCUAUUGUCUUCUUUGGAAAGAGGAUAACAUGGACUUCAAAUUUAUGUACUAUAUAUUUUCUCUUUUUUUGGGGGGGGGGCGCAGUUAUAUCAGUUUCAUGAUUAUGCUGUAAUUUCUUCUGUAAGAUGCACUGCCAGUUCUGCAAAUAUUUGUCCCAUGUGUUUUCAGAUGUUUAUUAUGUUUAAAGUGUAUGGAGCAAUUCGAUGGACCUACCUCUCAUAUUCAUCUUGAAUAUACAGUGCAUUCAUAAAGUAUUCAGACCGCUUCAUUUUUUUCAUGUUUUGUUAUGUUGCAGCCUUAUGCUAAAAUUAUUGAAAUUAUUUUUUUCACAUCAAUCUACACUCCAUAUCCCAAAGCAAAAAUCUGAUUUUUAAUAACUUGCAGAUUUAUUAAAAAGAAAAUUUUUUAUUCAGAUCCUUUGUUAUGACACUUGAAAUUUAGCUCCGGUGCAUCUCAUUUCUCUGGAUCAUCUUUGAGAUGUUUCUACACUUUGAUUGGAGUCCACCUGUGGCAAGUUCAAUUGACUGGACAUUAUUUGGAAAGGCACACACCUGUCUAUAUAAGGUCUCACAGCUGAAAAUGCAUUUCAGAGGAAUAACCAAGCCAUGAGGUCAAAGAAACUGCCUGCAGAGCUCAGAGACAGGAUUGUAUCGAGCCACAGAUCUGGGGAAGGCUACAAAAUUAUAUUUGCUGCAUUGACGGUUCCCAAGAGCACAGUAGAGCUGGCCGCCUGGGCAAACUGAGCAAUCGGGGAGAAGGGCUUUGGUAAGAGGGGUUACCAAGAACCUGAUGGUUACUCUGGUUGAGCUCCAGAGAUCAUGUGUGGAGACUGGGGAAACUUGCAGAAGGACAGCCAUCACUGCAACACUCCACCGAUCUGGUCUUUAUGGCAGAGUGGCCAGAUGGAAUCCUCUCCUCAUUGCAAGACACAUGAAAGCCUGCUUGGAAAAAAGCACCUAAAGGACUCUCAGGCUGUGAGAAACAAGAUUUUUUCUGGUCUGAUGAAACAAAGAUUGAAGUGUCAUGUAUGGAGGAAACCAGGCAAAGCUCAUCACCUGCGCAAUACCAUCCCACCGGUGAAGCAUGGUAGUGGUAGCAUCAUGCUGUGGGGGUGUUUUUCAGCGGUAGGGACUGGGGGACUGGUCAGGGUUGAAAGAAAGCUGAAUGCAGAAAAAUACAGAGAUAUCCUUAAUGAAAACCUGGUCAAGAGCGCUCAGGACCUCAGGCUGGGCCAAAGGUUCACCUUCCAACAGGACAAUGACCCUAAGCACUCAGCCAAGACAAUGCAAGAGUGGCUUAGGGACAACUCUGUGAAUGUCCUUGAGUGGCCCAGCCAAAGCCCGGACUUGAACCCAAUAGAACAUCUCUGGAGAGACCUGAAAAUGGCUGUCCACCGACGGUCUCCAUCCAACCUGACAGAGCUGGAGAGGAUCUGCAGAGAAGAACAUUUCCAAAUCCAGGUGUGCAAUGCUUGUCGCAUCAUACCCAAAAAGACUUGAGGCUGUAAUCAUUGCCUAAGGUGCUUCAACUAAGUACCAAAGUAAGGGUCUAAAUAUUUAUGUCAGUGUGAUAUUUCAGUUUUUUUUUUUUUUGUUUUUUAAUAAAUUUGCAAAGUUAUCAAAAAUCUGGUUUUUGCUUUGUCAUUAUGGGGUAUGGAGUGAAGAUUGAUGUGAAAAAAAAAAAAAACUUGAAUAAUUUAAAGCAUUUUAG
Molecule: long non-coding RNA, 9116 nt
Organism: Myxocyprinus asiaticus (Chinese sucker)
Lineage: Eukaryota; Metazoa; Chordata; Actinopteri; Cypriniformes; Catostomidae
Exons: 4
Source: RefSeq, a predicted model, not a curated record